Molecule: ribosomal RNA, 274 nt
Filed under: uncultured bacterium
Lineage: Bacteria
Description: partial 16S ribosomal RNA
Rfam family: Bacterial small subunit ribosomal RNA
Source: RNAcentral
AUACGGGGGGUGCAAGCGUUGUUCGGAUUUAUAGGGCGUAAAGCGAGCGCAGGCGGCCAAGUAUGUCGGAUGUGAAAGCCCUCGGCUCAACCGAGGAAUUGCGUUCGAAACUGCUUGGCUUGAGUAUGGGAGAGGGUAGCGGAAUUCCCGGUGUAGAGGUGAAAUUCGUAGAUAUCGGGAGGAACACCAGAGGCGAAGGCGGCUUCCUGGACCAACACUGACGCUGAGGCUCGAAAGCGUGGGGAGCAAACAGGAUUAGAAACCCUAGUAGUCC